CGGCGCACCUGCGCACUGUGGCUGCCCGCAGCGAGGCUAUGCCUGCUGUGGACUGAGCACCUAGAUGUCGCGAACUCCUAACCUUUGACCUUGGCGAGAGGCUUUGCGGGCAAGACAAGCGCAGGGCCCGGGAGGUGCGGCGUUUGUCCCAGGCUAGCCUGCCCCACGGUGGGGCAGUGUCUUCUUAUGCCCAGUUGCAUAUGGCCCUCGGGCCAGGUCUCUGGAAGCGGAGAUUACCUGGCCUCGUCAGUGGGAAUGAGGGGAAGCCCUGGGCAGCCAUGUGCGGCUCCCUUCUUGAGGGGUCUGCAGCCUGCUCACCCACUUCAGUGCAUCCAGCCAGGUGCUGAGGGGAAGGCAGACCAAAGCCCUCACAGGAAAUGCCAACACUGCCAGAUUAACUGCUGA
Molecule: long non-coding RNA, 405 nt
Filed under: Cavia porcellus (domestic guinea pig)
Lineage: Eukaryota; Metazoa; Chordata; Mammalia; Rodentia; Caviidae
Description: lncRNA (ENSCPOG00000031909.1)
Source: RNAcentral